Molecule: ribosomal RNA, 255 nt
Filed under: uncultured prokaryote
Description: partial 16S ribosomal RNA
Rfam family: Bacterial small subunit ribosomal RNA
Source: RNAcentral
AUACGGAGGGUGCGAGCGUUGUCCGGAAUCACUGGGCGUAAAGGGCGCGUAGGCGGUCUGGUAAGCGUGCGGUGAAAGCCCGGGGCUCAACCCCGGGUCGGCCGUGCGGACUGCGAGACUGGAGCACUGUAGAGGCAGAUGGAAUUCCGGGUGUAGCGGUGGAAUGCGUAGAGAUCCGGAAGAACACCGGUGGCGAAGGCGGUCUGCUGGGCAGUGGCUGACGCUGAGGCGCGACAGCGUGGGGAGCAAACAGGA